Stereum hirsutum FP-91666 SS1 is the source of this 110-nucleotide non-coding RNA. The record is from the annotation of a RefSeq genome assembly. Lineage: Eukaryota; Fungi; Basidiomycota; Agaricomycetes; Russulales; Stereaceae.
CCUCCGGUAGCUCAGCGGUAGAGCAGGGAUGGAAAAUUGAAGUGAGCGUCCGAUAUUCGAGAGCAUUUCUACGUAUCUCCCCGUCGUUGGUUCGAAUCCAGCCUGGAGGU